This 177-nucleotide ribosomal RNA is filed under the name uncultured bacterium. Its description in RNAcentral is "partial 16S ribosomal RNA". It matches the Rfam family "Bacterial small subunit ribosomal RNA", at positions 1316 to 1500 of the family's 1533-position model. The record is from RNAcentral.
CUCCAUGAAGCUGGAUUCGCUAGUAAUCGCGCAUCAGCCACGGCGCGGUGAAUACGUUCCCGGGCCUUGUACACACCGCCCGUCAAGCCAUGGAAGCCGGGGGUGCCUGAAGUGCGCUGCCGCAAGGAGCGUCCUAGGGUAAAACCGGUGACUGGGGCUAAGUCGUAACAAGGUAUC